UACGUAGGGUGCAAGCGUUAAUCGGAAUUACUGGGCGUAAAGCGUGCGCAGGCGGUUAUGUAAGACAGUUGUGAAAUCCCCGGGCUUAACCUGGGAACUGCAUCUGUGACUGCAUAGCUAGAGUACGGUAGAGGGGGAUGGAAUUCCGCGUGUAGCAGUGAAAUGCGUAGAUAUGCGGAGGAACACCGAUGGCGAAGGCAAUCCCCUGGACCUGUACUGACGCUCAUGCACGAAAGCGUGGGGAGCAAACAGG
This 253-nucleotide ribosomal RNA is filed under the name uncultured bacterium. RNAcentral describes it as "partial 16S ribosomal RNA". It matches the Rfam family "Bacterial small subunit ribosomal RNA", at positions 524 to 776 of the family's 1533-position model. The record is from RNAcentral.